Molecule: ribosomal RNA, 491 nt
Filed under: uncultured bacterium
Lineage: Bacteria
Description: bacterial SSU rRNA
Rfam family: Bacterial small subunit ribosomal RNA
Source: RNAcentral
AGCGAACGUUAGCGGCGGGCCUAACACAUGCAAGUCGAACGAGAAAACCUUCGGGUGAGUACAGUGGCGCACGGGUGAGGAACGCGUAGGUAAUCUACCCUCUGGCGGGGGACAACACUCCGAAAGGAAUGCUAAUACCGCGUAAGACCCCACCUACUAUGGUAGGAGAGGUUAAAGGUGCCCUUAAAGCACCACCAGAGGAUGAGCCUGCGUCCCAUCAGCUUGUUGGUGAGGUAAAAGCUUACCAAGGCGAAGACGGGUAGCUGGUCUGAGAGGAUGAUCAGCCACACUGGUACUGGAACACGGACCAGACUCCUACGGGAGGCAGCAGUGAGGAAUAUUGGGCAAUGGGCGAAAGCCUGACCCAGCCACGCCGCGUGUGUGAUGAAGGCCUUCGGGUCGUAAAGCACUGUGGGGAGGGACGAACCUACGCAGGAGGAAAUGCCUGCGUACUGACGGUACCUCCUUAGCAAGCACCGGCUAACUCUGUG